UGGGGAAUAUUGCACAAUGGGCGCAAGCCUGAUGCAGCCAUGCCGCGUGUAUGAAGAAGGCCUUCGGGUUGUAAAGUACUUUCAGCGGGGAGGAAGGGAGUAAAGUUAAUACCUUUGCUCAUUGACGUUACCCGCAGAAGAAGCACCGGCUAACUCCGUGCCAGCAGCCGCGGUAAUACGGAGGGUGCAAGCGUUAAUCGGAAUUACUGGGCGUAAAGCGCACGCAGGCGGUUUGUUAAGUCAGAUGUGAAAUCCCCGGGCUCAACCUGGGAACUGCAUCUGAUACUGGCAAGCUUGAGUCUGGUAGAGGGGAGUAGAAUUCCAGGUGUAGCGGUGAAAUGCGUAGAGAUCUGGAGGAAUACCGGUGGCGAAGGCGGCCCCCUGGACAAAGACUGACGCUCAGGUGCGAAAGCGUGGGGAGCAAACAGG
Molecule: ribosomal RNA, 429 nt
Filed under: Chloroflexota bacterium
Lineage: Bacteria; Bacillati; Chloroflexota
Description: Chloroflexi bacterium partial 16S ribosomal RNA
Rfam family: Bacterial small subunit ribosomal RNA
Source: RNAcentral